CUAAUCAGUAAUAAUGGACUAACCAAACCAACUCUUUUCUCUCCCAAGAGAAAACCUAACGACACCAUCCAAGCGUAACCCUAACGUCACCUCGCCGCCGCCACCCUUUACCCAUCGGACCAUCAGUUAAAGCUGAUUUUGACGUAACUGACGCCGCCUCCCAUCAACCCUAUCCCUUUCUCCCCUUUUCUUCAAGUAACAGAGCUUCAAACAGCUCGUCCAAGUCAAAUCAACCCCCUAAUCAAGAAGCACGCAAGGAUCUUUGGGUUUCUAAGCUGAUCUUCUAACAAUCCAUAAGAUAAAGGCUCCAAAAAAACUACUUCUAGCGGAUUCGGAGACUCGACGAUGACAAUAGCCUCAGUUCGCUGUCCCGGAGAAGGCAAUCACAUUCGUCUUCUCUUCAUCUUUAAUUUUGUAGAAAUCGAAAUGUAGUCGUGUUGUUGUUUUGUUGUUCUCAGCAUUCUUUGGAGUUCGCUUGUUUGAAUCUGCCCAUACUUUAUUUGUUAUAAAUAAACAUGAGAUAGUCAUGGCAAUCUAUUAGCGUUUAAAGAAAAUGAUCAUUGAACUUGCUGAAUACAUGAAAAGUAGUGUCGCUUGUCUAAAUAUCUGUUGUGGCAUCCCUUAAGGGACUGUUUUAUCAUGUAAAAUCAAGCAUGUAAAAUGGCUAAAAUAAAUCAUAACAUCAAAACAAAUGUCCUGAUUUGUUGGUAGUUAAUUCUAGUCUAUACACAUAGGUUCGAAUAAUCAUUUUGUUUUCGUUAGUUUGAAUCUGUCUACAUCCCACAAUCUUCUUUUUACCAUUAAGGUUGUAGAUAUAGAUGGCUUGAAUCAUGUUUUAUCCUUCAUUCAUGUCUUCAAAACCAGUUCUAGUAUGGAUCAAUAUUAAGAUGUUUGUGUCAAAUAGUUGUUUUCUACUUUCAUUUGGACAUGAGCAUGAAACAUUAUUUGUUUGAAGGCAUUGAAAGGUUAGCAUUGUCCCUGUUUUAGUAAUAAAAUGGUUGAUAACACAGCCGCUGCUAAUACGAUUUCCUAAAGCUCUACUAUAAAAUUCAUUUAGACCUUAUGACUAAAAAUAUCAUGCCGUGACUCUGUCUAGAAACCUAUAUGUGAAUAUAUGAUGCCUUAUAACUGAAAAGAAAAGGUUAUUAAGUUCGAUCAAAUAAAAGGGUGAUGUUUUGUUCGAGAGAAAAAGUUAUUAUUUUUAAGGAAAAUUUACUGUUUUGAUAUAAAAAGAAAGCUACUGUUUUUUUUUUUUAACUAAAAAGCUACUGUUUUUAACUAGAAAGGCUACUGUUUUCCGGUUAAAAAGUUACUAUUUUGGUUGGAACCAAGUAAACAGGACAUUCAUGCUCAUGGUGAUUUACUAAUAAUAUGCAGCUAUGGUUGUUAUUUCCCGCUUGAGCAGAUGCUUAAUUAGUAUUUAGAGAGCAACUGGCUUUAUAAACUAUGUGAAAUAAUGGAGUUGAGUUUGUUCAAUUGAAAAUAAUAGCUUUAACUUGUUCUGGGAGGAUGGUGGAUGUAUAAAUUCUUUAUCUAAGCAUGAUUGAUGAGUUAGAGUCCUGGGACCCUUUUAUUUUUUUUGUCGUCCAAUGUCUUUAGUUGAGGUACAUCAUUAGGAUUUGAUUUAAGUCCAUAGAACUAAUUUCUCAAGAGUUGUGGUUAUAAGGUCUCCAAAAAAAAAAAAAAUGUGAACCUGUGGGAACAAUCAAAUGGCCUAUUUAUAAUUCUCCGCCUUGAGUCUUUUAUAAGCCAUGAUUGCAUCAUGUUAGACUUAAGACCCUAACAUGUUUGAGUUGGAUUGUCGCCUUAAAAAUGGGUGCAUAAAACCAUUUGAAUCAUGUUCCUCUUUCUCUCGCUAAACCGGUCGAGUUAUGGUAUCAUUGUAGAACUAGUCUUGGGUACUUUUUCUUCCAAAUCUCGAACGAAAUGACCAGGUAUUAAAACAAGACUAGUUGUUCACGCGUUGAGUAUUUCUUAAAAGGAGUAGUAGUUUGCUGUGCUACUUUGGAGGUUGUUGUGUGCGUGAAAAUAUGCUAAUAAGGUUCUCUGCCCAACUUGCUUUUGUUUUGGCAAAUACAUACUUAUAAUUUUUGGGUUUUAGAACUUGGAGCCACAAAUGCUUUAAGAACUUGAAAGGAUCUCUUUUCCUUUUGUGAAGGUGUUUCUUUUUGUACUGGUUUGCUAAUGGGAUGAUAAGUGUGUUGGCUUUUCUGAUCACUCAUAUAGCAUCAUGGAAGUGUUAGAGAUUUGGGAAGCCGAACAUAAUUUAUUUUGAACCUAUUUUGAAGUAC
Long non-coding RNA from Lycium ferocissimum, 2291 nucleotides. RefSeq lists it as uncharacterized. The transcript has 2 exons. The record is from RefSeq and is a predicted model, not a curated record. NCBI's taxonomy places the organism in Eukaryota, Viridiplantae, Streptophyta, Magnoliopsida, Solanales, Solanaceae.